This 936-nucleotide long non-coding RNA is filed under the name Penaeus chinensis. RNAcentral's name for it is "uncharacterized LOC125024859, transcript variant X1". Lineage: Eukaryota; Metazoa; Arthropoda; Malacostraca; Decapoda; Penaeidae. The record is from RNAcentral.
CCGGCAGAGGCGACGCUGGUGACGGCGGUCAGCACGGAGUGAGCAGGAAAGCGAGGCCAUUUGAGCAGCCAUACCAAGAGUCCUGAGGAAUGUCACGAGUAACCGAUGCAACAGAGGAAUCAAGAUGCUCUCAGACCAUAACAGGGACGAGGAGCCGCCAGGGGAGCUCUCCGAACACCAGGUGAAGGAGCAACUCGGGGAGGUGCGGCACCAAACUGUCCUUCACUGGAAUCAUAGAGGACUAAGGUCUCAUCUGGAGAGAAUUUUAGAGGAAGGGUCGCAUAUUCGUCAUGUUGUUCAGCUGACGCGCAGUCUUGUAACCUGCUGAGUACUGAAGAAGUGAAAAGCAGAUCCAGCACAAGCGGAAAUAUUCAUUACACUUGCAUACGAUAUCCCGAAUAUAAUCCCCGGCAAAAGUAAACGACAACACAAGACAAAUACAAGCUUUUGACACCUCCAUCUCUGCAGUCCCGAGAACUUGGGAUCUCUUGCAUAACUGACUUACUGUUAUCUCCAUGGGAACUGUUGAGAGCAUUACUGGACUCAGUUGGUACAGAUUUUUUCAUAGACUUACGUCGACUUCGAAACCUCUAAGUGCCAAUGCAGAGUGGCAACAACGUAACUCGUUUUGGGGAGGACUUCACGGCCUCUACGUAGACCACAAUUAGCAGAAGGAGUUGCCACAUUCAUCGCCACUCUGCCGAUGCUCAGCUGUGUCUCUUGCUGUUUAAUUCUCCGACUCAUCUUAGAGCUCUCUCCUGUAAGGCUCUCUGUGUGUUUUUUUGUUAGGUGUCAUUAGAUUGCUGUUAUUGCUGAUAGUAUUUUUAGGUUUUUAUUAUUUGUGAUACUUUUUAAAUUUGUUUUUGUUGUUUUUGUUGUUGUUAGUAGUGUUGUUAUUAUUAUAUUUAUUUUAGUUAUUAUUGAUAGUAGUAGUAU